GACGAACGCUGGCGGCGUGCUUAACACAUGCAAGUCGAACGGAAAGGCGUAGCUUGAGUCGGGUGCUCGAGUGGCGAACGGGUGAGUAACACGUGAGUAACCUGCCCUUAGCUAUGUGACAACUUCAGGGAGAUGGGGCUAAUACAGGAUAGGUACUCCUGCUGAAAGGUGGGGGUUGGAACGUUUCGACGGUUGGGGAUGUACUGGGGGCUUAUCAGCUUGCUGGUGAGGUGGUGGCUUACCAAAGCAUGGACCGGUAGCCGGCCUGGGAGGGUGACCUGCCACAUUGGAAUGGAGAUGCGACCCAGACUCCAAUGGGACGCAGCGGUGGAGAAGAGUACACUGUGGGCGGGGGCCUGAUGCAACGACGCCGCGUGGGGGAAGACGGGAUGCGAGUUGUAAACCACUUUCGCCUGUGACGAGGAGUGAGUGACGGUAAUGGGGAAAGAAGCACCGGCUAACUACGUG
This 468-nucleotide ribosomal RNA is filed under the name uncultured bacterium. Its description in RNAcentral is "partial 16S ribosomal RNA". It matches the Rfam family "Bacterial small subunit ribosomal RNA", at positions 28 to 507 of the family's 1533-position model. The record is from RNAcentral.